ACACGUGCAAGUCGAACGCUGAAGCUUGGGUGUUUUUCAUCUGGGUGGAUGAGUGGCGAACGGGUGAGUAAUACGUGAGUAACCUGCCCUUGACUCUGGGAUAAGCCUGGGAAGCUGGGUCUAAUACUGGAUACUACGUGCCCUCGCAUGGGGGUGUGUGGAAAGGGUUUUACUGGUUUUGGAUGGGCUCACGGCCUAUCAGCUUGUUGGUGGGGUAAUGGCCUACCAAGGCGACGACGGGUAGCCGGCCUGAGAGGGUGACCGGCCACACUGGGACUGAGACACGGCCCAGACUCCUACGGGAGGCAGCAGUGGGGAAUAUUGCACAAUGGGCGAAAGCCUGAUGCAGCGACGCCGCGUGAGGGAUGACGGCCUUCGGGUUGUAAACCUCUUUCAGCACGGAAGAAGCGAAAGUGACGGUACGUGCAGAAGAAGCGCCGGCUAACUACGUGCCAGCAGCCGCGGUAAUACGUAGGGCGCAAGCGUUGUCCGGAAUUAUUGGGCGUAAAGAGCUCGUAGGCGGUUUGUCGCGUCUGCUGUGAAAGCCCGGGGCUUAACCCCGUGGUGUGCAGUGGGUACGGGCAGACUAGAGUGCAGUAGGGGAGACUGGAAUUCCUGGUGUAGCGGUGAAAUGCGCAGAUAUCAGGAGGAACACCGAUGGCGAAGGCAGGUCUCUGGGCUGUUACUGACGCUGAGGAGCGAAAGCAUGGGGAGCGAACAGGAUUAGAUACCCUGGUAGUCCAUGCCGUAAACGUUGGGCACUAGGUGUGGGGGACAUUCCACGUUUUCCGCGCCGUAGCUAACGCAUUAAGUGCCCCGCCUGGGGAGUACGGCCGCAAGGCUAAAACUCAAAGGAAUUGACGGGGGCCCGCACAAGCGGCGGAGCAUGCGGAUUAAUUCGAUGCAACGCGAAGAACCUUACCAAGGCUUGACAUACACCAGACCGGCCCAGAGAUGGGUUUUCCUCUUUGAGGUUGGUGUACAG
RNAcentral lists this ribosomal RNA (985 nucleotides) under Kocuria gwangalliensis. RNAcentral's name for it is "bacterial SSU rRNA". It matches the Rfam family "Bacterial small subunit ribosomal RNA", at positions 51 to 1037 of the family's 1533-position model. Lineage: Bacteria; Bacillati; Actinomycetota; Actinomycetes; Micrococcales; Micrococcaceae. The record is from RNAcentral.